Molecule: transfer RNA, 85 nt
Filed under: Verrucomicrobia bacterium IMCC26134
Lineage: Bacteria; Pseudomonadati; Verrucomicrobiota
Also listed under: 2 other names
Rfam family: tRNA
About the family: Transfer RNA (tRNA) molecules are approximately 80 nucleotides in length. Their secondary structure includes four short double-helical elements and three loops (D, anti-codon, and T loops). Further hydrogen bonds mediate the characteristic L-shaped molecular structure. tRNAs have two regions of fundamental functional importance: the anti-codon, which is responsible for specific mRNA codon recognition, and the 3' end, to which the tRNAs corresponding amino acid is attached (by aminoacyl-tRNA synthetases). tRNAs cope with the degeneracy of the genetic code in two manners: having more than one tRNA (with a specific anti-codon) for a particular amino acid; and 'wobble' base-pairing, i.e. permitting non-standard base-pairing at the 3rd anti-codon position.
Source: Rfam by way of RNAcentral
GGAGAGGUGGCAGAGUGGUCGAAUGCGCUCGCUUGGAAAGCGUGUGUAGGGCAACCUACCGAGGGUUCGAAUCCCUCCCUCUCCG